GCAUCCUUCGGGGUUGCACGCGAUAAAAUUGGAACGAUACAGAGAAGUUGGUUUUUACCGCCACAGCCAAUGAACCGCUUAGUAAUAUUUCCCCACGCCACAUAUAGCCUGCUAAUUACAUAAUCACACUGAUUAGCAUGGUCCCUGCACAAGGAUGACACGCUUUUCCGGAGUGGUAGACCUACGGGUCUCAAUAUUUAU
Molecule: small nuclear RNA, 201 nt
Filed under: Paxillus involutus ATCC 200175
Lineage: Eukaryota; Fungi; Basidiomycota; Agaricomycetes; Boletales; Paxillaceae
Source: RNAcentral